AUACGAGGGGUGCAAGCGUUAAUCGGAAUUACUGGGCGUAAAGCGUUCGUAGGCGGUUCGUUAAGCAAGAUGUGAAAGCCCUGGGCUCAACCUGGGAACUGCAUUUUGAACUGGCAAGCUAGAAUACUGUAGAGGGUGGUGGAAUUUCCAGUGUAGCGGUGAAAUGCGUAGAGAUUGGAAGGAACAUCAGUGGCGAAGGCGGCCACCUGGACAGAUAUUGACGCUGAGGAACGAAAGCGUGGGGAGCGAACAGGAUUAGAAACCCUAGUAGUCC
This 274-nucleotide ribosomal RNA is filed under the name uncultured bacterium. RNAcentral describes it as "partial 16S ribosomal RNA". It matches the Rfam family "Bacterial small subunit ribosomal RNA", at positions 523 to 796 of the family's 1533-position model. The record is from RNAcentral.